GACGAACGCUGGCGGCGUGCUUAACACAUGCAAGUCGAACGGAAAGGCCCUGCUUUUGUGGGGUGCUCGAGUGGCGAACGGGUGAGUAACACGUGAGUAACCUGCCCUUGACUUUGGGAUAACUUCAGGAAACUGGGGCUAAUACCGGAUAGGGGCUCCUGCUGCAUGGUGGGGGUUGGAAAGUUUCGGCGGUUGGGGAUGGACUCGCGGCUUAUCAGCUUGUUGGUGGGGUAGUGGCUUACCAAGGCCUUGACGGGUAGCCGGCCUGAGAGGGUGACCGGCCACAUUGGGACUGAGAUACGGCCCAGACUCCUACGGGAGGCAGCAGUGGGGAAUAUUGCACAAUGGGCGGAAGCCUGAUGCAGCAACGCCGCGUGCGGGAUGACGGCCUUCGGGUUGUAAACCGCUUUCGCCUGUGACGAAGCGUGAGUGACGGUAAUGGGUAAAGAAGCACCGGCUAACUACGUG
RNAcentral lists this ribosomal RNA (468 nucleotides) under uncultured bacterium. RNAcentral describes it as "partial 16S ribosomal RNA". It matches the Rfam family "Bacterial small subunit ribosomal RNA", at positions 28 to 507 of the family's 1533-position model. The record is from RNAcentral.